UCUCUUGUAGUUCAGUUGGUAACGAAUCUGCCUGCAAUGCAGGAGACCCAGGUUCAAUUCCUGGAUUGGGAA
This 72-nucleotide transfer RNA is filed under the name Ovis aries (sheep). It matches the Rfam family "tRNA". From Rfam's summary of the family: Transfer RNA (tRNA) molecules are approximately 80 nucleotides in length. Their secondary structure includes four short double-helical elements and three loops (D, anti-codon, and T loops). Lineage: Eukaryota; Metazoa; Chordata; Mammalia; Artiodactyla; Bovidae. The record is from Rfam by way of RNAcentral.